GGAAUGAGAGGUGCCUUUAGUAGGAGAGACAAAGUCUCAUUCCACCACCCAGACAGGAGUGCAGUGGUGCGAUCGCAGUUCACUUAACCUCAACCUCCUGGCCUCAGAUAAGCCACCCAAGUAGCUGACACUGUAGGGCUCUCAUCUUGAUCCAUAGGAAUUGACCAGCUGACCAGCUGGCUAAGUACCCAAAUGUGUGUGGUGAGGGUGAGACUUAAAAACAGAGCUCAACAUCUGAAAUCUAGAAAAAUUUGGUGCCAGUGUUCUUCAUACGAAGUUAGUGAUGCGCUGCCAGUAUUGCAACAGCAUCCUCCUGGGACACAUUUCUAAGGAUGGACAGUCUGUAUCUGCCUCCUGCCAGCUGCAUUGCAAACAUAAUAUGCUCUUUGCAGUUUCAAUCAAAAUGAAAUUCUUCAUGGAAAACUGUACUGUAACUGGAAGUAUUUGAAAAUCAAAGGCUUCACAGCAGGAACUGUUUCUGGCAGCUUGGUGAACCAAGAAAGGCAAUAUUCUUCUGGGGAACAUUGCCUUGAGAGACACAACAUGAAUUACAACAUCAUGAUGUAUUCAGCCAGAUGUCUGCAAGACAGAAAAUCACGUGACUGAGCAAGGCAUGUGAAUGUUCUUAAAGGGGGAGAAAUAGAAAAGAAAAACCAAACAUGCAUCAGAUAUUUCCUUUUUGCAUCACAUUAUUCCCAAUCAUAUGGAUGCCUUAUGUUUAUAACUUGCCAAUUAUGA
RNAcentral lists this long non-coding RNA (738 nucleotides) under Homo sapiens (human). Its description in RNAcentral is "HSALNT0203999". The record is from RNAcentral. Lineage: Eukaryota; Metazoa; Chordata; Mammalia; Primates; Hominidae.